AGCAAAAAAAGAUAUUUAGUCUCAGUGUGAGUUUAAAUUAAAAAUUUAAUACGUGAUUAUAAUGCUUCAUUUAGUUCAACAUGAUGCAGAUGUUUCAUGAGAUCACAUGACACCGCUGGUCCAAUCAGAAACACUGAACUCCGGUUAGACGAAUCAUAAAACAAUAAAAAACAACAAUAUAAAACAAACAUGAAUAAAAAUCUAAUUCCAGACAGAAACAAAAACGUUUGUCCUUCAGGUAGAGUACCACACAUCGGGGUUAGGGCACCAGUAGAUUAUUAACAUUAUUCUUCUUAUUAAUAUCUUACAAAACCAAAAACAACAGUGCAAUAAAAAGGUUUGAACGCCUCGAUCAGCGGGAGGAAGAGACGGCGGAGAAGCAGAACCAAAACGGACAGGAGGACAGGGGGACGGGAGGGACGACAGGAGGACAGGGGGACGGGAGGGACGACAGGAGGACAGGGGAAUGACAGGAGGACAGGGGGACGGGCUUCUCAAGACGAUGGAGGUGGAGAAUGGAGGAAGGAAGCUGGAGGAAGGAAAGGA
Long non-coding RNA from Poecilia latipinna (sailfin molly), 546 nucleotides. RefSeq lists it as uncharacterized. The transcript is spliced from 3 exons. NCBI's taxonomy places the organism in Eukaryota, Metazoa, Chordata, Actinopteri, Cyprinodontiformes, Poeciliidae. The record is from RefSeq and is a predicted model, not a curated record.